CNNGUACACAUAAUUUAAUUAAAAUACUAGGCCGUGACCCU
Molecule: transfer RNA, 41 nt
Filed under: Plethodon ouachitae (Rich Mountain salamander)
Lineage: Eukaryota; Metazoa; Chordata; Amphibia; Caudata; Plethodontidae
Description: partial tRNA-His
Source: RNAcentral